RNAcentral lists this transfer RNA (85 nucleotides) under Felis catus (domestic cat). It matches the Rfam family "tRNA". From Rfam's summary of the family: Transfer RNA (tRNA) molecules are approximately 80 nucleotides in length. Their secondary structure includes four short double-helical elements and three loops (D, anti-codon, and T loops). The record is from Rfam by way of RNAcentral. Lineage: Eukaryota; Metazoa; Chordata; Mammalia; Carnivora; Felidae.
GCCUGGGUGGCUCAGUCGGUUGAGCGUCCGACUUCGGCUCAGGUCAGGAUCUCGCAGUUUGUGAGUUUGAGCCCCACUACGGGCU